Molecule: small nucleolar RNA, 138 nt
Organism: Tachyglossus aculeatus (Australian echidna)
Lineage: Eukaryota; Metazoa; Chordata; Mammalia; Monotremata; Tachyglossidae
Source: RefSeq, a predicted model, not a curated record
CCCCUCUCAGGGUUGCAGCUGGAGAGUUUCCAGUAGUCUACCAGUCUAGGCUAAGGGAGGGACAGUCAAGCAGAGGCCUGUCCAUUUCAUUCCUAGCUUGGGCAGUGGCUAGCGAGGGGAAGGCAAUCUGCAACAAGU